GGACGAACGCUGGCGGCGUGCUUAACCCAUGCAAGUCGAACGGUGAAGCGCUUUCCUUUUUGGUUGGCGUGGAUGAGUGGCGAACGGGUGAGUAACACGUGAGUAACCUGCCCCCUUCUUCUGGAUAACCGCAUGAAAGUGUGGCUAAUACGGGAUAUUCUGCGCCUGCUGCAUGGUGGGUGUGGGAAAGAUUGUGCCUUUGGGUGGUUUCGGUGGGGGAUGGGCUCGCGGCCUAUCAGCUGGUUGGUGGGGUGAUGGCCUACCGAGGCGGUGACGGGUAGCCGGCCUGAGGGUGUGGACGGUCACACUGGGACUGAGACACGGCCCAGACUGCUACGGGAGGCAGCAGUGGGGAAUACUGCACAAUGGGCGCAAGCCUGAUGCAGCGACGCCGCGUGAGGGAGGGAGGCCUUCGGGUUGUGAACCUCUUUCGCCAGUGAAGCAGGCCUGCUCCUUGUGGGUGGGUUGACGGUAGCUGGAUAAGAAGCGCCGGCUAACUACGUG
RNAcentral lists this ribosomal RNA (504 nucleotides) under uncultured bacterium. RNAcentral describes it as "partial 16S ribosomal RNA". It matches the Rfam family "Bacterial small subunit ribosomal RNA", at positions 27 to 507 of the family's 1533-position model. The record is from RNAcentral.